UACUAAUAAACAGCUAAUAUCCUAGUAAUAUGCAUGCUAAUAAGAAACUAGUUAAUAGUGAGAAUUAGACUCUAAACUAAAGUGUUACCAAUCUUAGUUAAUGUUAAUUUCAACAUUUAGUAGUACAUUAUGGAAAUCAAAUGUUGUAUUGGUUAACAUUAGUUAAUACACUGAACUAACAUGAACAAACAAUGAACAACUGGAUUUUUAUUAACUAACAUUAACAAAGAUUAAUAAAAACUGUAACAAAUGUAUUGUUCAUGGUUAGUUCAUGUUAGUUAAUACAUUAACUAAUGUUAACGAAUGAGACCUUAUUGUAAAGUGUUACUGAAGGUAAAAAAAAAAAAAAAUGGUUUAUUUCAAAGUAACCUAUGAAUUAUAAUACGAAUAUAUAGACUUCAGCAUUUCAGCUAUUCAGCUGUUUUAAAAAUGAAAUCUGAAGUGGCUUCAAUAUCAUCACUUAACAACUUCAGAGCGCAUGGUAGAUCAUUCGUGAAGGGUUUAUAACUUAUUGUUAAAAAUCAAUUUCUCUAUGGAGAAAGUGAAUGAGAUUUUUACUCUCAGAACACGACUGUUAAGCUCCAUUGUGUUUUAGAGUGUUUUGUGUUUAUGUGUGUAUGUUUGAAAGGACAGCGAUUUAUUGAGAACAGCAACAUGGCAGCCUGUUUCAUCUUCUGAAGAAUGUUACACAAGCCUGAGACACCUACCCACCAUCACUCAUCAGUUUCUGCCCUUCCUCAACACAUUGUCUGCAUGUCUGGACAGAUGACAGCUUGAUUGACAGCUUUUUCGAGGAAUAUUGACAGGCUGUCGCAGUUGAGAGAGGGAUGUGCCUUAGGAGGUGACCGUGUCACUAUGCGUCCCAUCAGUCCUUGGGGUGGCAGAAGGAGGCCUUGGGAGAUAAAACUGCAUCUGUAGGUGGUACCAAGGUGAAAAGAAGAAUAGCUACUUUACUGAUGCUUACUUGGAUUACACAGAUCACGUGCAAUUUGAUUGCCCAGGCUGUUCUCUGAGGGCAAGCUUUGUUUCUGAUCUCUGGAAACCCUGGAUUUAAAGGAUAAAAAUGAACUCUCUUUAAUUUCAUGGGCUGCUGAUUGGAUCAAAACCAGGACUGCUGUGUGUUUAAACGAGUAUGAGAGUGAAUUAGUAAAUACUUGAAACAAUGACAGCAUCAAAUGAUUCAUGCAGUGACUCAAGUAGAGCAUUUUAUAACUGUCUCUUUGUUCCCCUCUCGUAUUUUAUUAUCUUCCCCAUCCUCACGUCUUUCCAGUCUAACGUAGUGUCUGUCCGCUGAUGGGUGGUGGACCGGAGGGAAGUAUUACCUGAGCAAAAUCACUCUGCACUCAUUAGGCUGUCCAAUCACAGCAGGGCAGCCAAUCAGUCUAUUUUUAGCCCACCGUUUUGCAUUCCAGACCAUCAAUCAAACUCGGACGUGGUCCACGCAGGCGCUUUUGCUAAGCUCUGAACUGUCGCAUAUUAGAAAAGCCCAGUAAAAUCUACUGUACGUUCUGUUGAUCUGUCAGUUUAUCAGCAGGGGAAAUUAAUUCAUGAGAUUUUCAUGAGGCAAAUGAGAUUUAAUAUGCAGCCCGGUAUUUAGCACAGCAAGACUCCUGCAGAGUUUUGAAAAUAUUUAUAUAAACUCCACUACGCAGAGAAGUCUUUCUGAAUUUUAAUUUUUAAAAUCUUGUACCUUACAGUUAUCUCCAUGUCCAUUAGUGCACUUCUAAUUUCUCAUGAAUACUUAAUUCUAGUAGAGGUUAACUGAGUCCUGCCCUUUGUGUAAUAGACUCACUAGCUCACCAUAUUCUAAUUGCUUUUUGGCUUUGCCUAACUUCCUUACAUGACCAUGAUCAUCCUUAUAUAGGAAGGAGGUUGAACAGCAGCGAUAGAAACGAUAUG
Ctenopharyngodon idella (grass carp) is the source of this 1899-nucleotide long non-coding RNA. RefSeq lists it as uncharacterized. NCBI's taxonomy places the organism in Eukaryota, Metazoa, Chordata, Actinopteri, Cypriniformes, Xenocyprididae. The transcript is spliced from 4 exons. The record is from RefSeq and is a predicted model, not a curated record.